GACGAACGCUGGCGGCGUGCUUAACACAUGCAAGUCGAACGGAAAGGCCCUGCUUUUGUGGGGUGCUCGAGUGGCGAACGGGUGAGUAACACGUGAGUAACCUGCCCUUGACUUUGGGAUAACUUCAGGAAACUGGGGCUAAUACCGGAUAGGAGCUCCUGCUGCAUGGUGGGGGUUGGAAAGUUUCGGCGGUUGGGGAUGGACUCGCGGCUUAUCAGCUUGUUGGUGGGGUAGUGGCUUACCAAGGCUUUGACGGGUAGCCGGCCUGAGAGGGUGACCGGCCACAUUGGGACUGAGAUACGGCCCAGACUCCUACGGGAGGCAGCAGGGGGGAAUAUUGCACAAUGGGCGGAAGCCUGAUGCAGCAACGCCGCGUGCGUGAUGACGGCCUUCGGGUUGUAAACCGCUUUCGCCGGUGACGAAGCGUGAGUGACGGUAAUGGGUAAAGAAGCACCGGCUAACUACGUG
This 468-nucleotide ribosomal RNA is filed under the name uncultured bacterium. Its description in RNAcentral is "partial 16S ribosomal RNA". It matches the Rfam family "Bacterial small subunit ribosomal RNA", at positions 28 to 507 of the family's 1533-position model. The record is from RNAcentral.